This 1338-nucleotide ribosomal RNA is filed under the name Salmonella enterica subsp. enterica serovar Typhi. Its description in RNAcentral is "partial 23S ribosomal RNA". It matches the Rfam family "Bacterial large subunit ribosomal RNA", at positions 838 to 2157 of the family's 2925-position model. The record is from RNAcentral. Lineage: Bacteria; Pseudomonadati; Pseudomonadota; Gammaproteobacteria; Enterobacterales; Enterobacteriaceae.
CCGGGAGAUAGCUGGUUCUCCCCGAAAGCUAUUUAGGUAGCGCCUCGUGAAUUCAUCUCCGGGGGUAGAGCACUGUUUCGGCUAGGGGGCCAUCCCGGCUUACCAACCCGAUGCAAACUGCGAAUACCGGAGAAUGUUAUCACGGGAGACACACGGCGGGUGCUAAUGUCCGUCGUGAAGAGGGAAACAACCCAGACCGCCAGCUAAGGUCCCAAAGUCAUGGUUAAGUGGGAAACGAUGUGGGAAGGCCCAGACAGCCAGGAUGUUGGCUUAGAAGCAGCCAUCAUUUAAAGAAAGCGUAAUAGCUCACUGGUCGAGUCGGCCUGCGCGGAAGAUGUAACGGGGCUAAACCAUGCACCGAAGCUGCGGCAGCGACACCGUGUGUUGUUGGGUAGGGGAGCGUUCUGUAAGCCUGUGAAGGUGUGCUGUGAGGCAUGCUGGAGGUAUCAGAAGUGCGAAUGCUGACAUAAGUAACGAUAAAGCGGGUGAAAAGCCCGCUCGCCGGAAGACCAAGGGUUCCUGUCCAACGUUAAUCGGGGCAGGGUGAGUCGACCCCUAAGGCGAGGCCGAAAGGCGUAGUCGAUGGGAAACGGGUUAAUAUUCCCGUACUUGGUGUUACUGCGAAGGGGGGACGGAGAAGGCUAUGUUGGCCGGGCGACGGUUGUCCCGGUUUAAGCGUGUAGGUAUGUGUUCCAGGUAAAUCCGGUUCACUUUAACACUGAGGCGUGACGACGAGGCACUACGGUGCUGAAGCAACAAAUGCCCUGCUUCCAGGAAAAGCCUCUAAGCAUCAGGUAACAUCAAAUCGUACCCCAAACCGACACAGGUGGUCAGGUAGAGAAUACCAAGGCGCUUGAGAGAACUCGGGUGAAGGAACUAGGCAAAAUGGUGCCGUAACUUCGGGAGAAGGCACGCUGACACGUAGGUGAAGUGAUUUACUCACGGAGCUGAAGUCAGCCGAAGAUACCAGCUGGCUGCAACUGUUUAUUAAAAACACAGCACUGUGCAAACACGAAAGUGGACGUAUACGGUGUGACGCCUGCCCGGUGCCGGAAGGUUAAUUGAUGGGGUCAGCGCAAGCGAAGCUCCUGAUCGAAGCCCCGGUAAACGGCGGCCGUAACUAUAACGGUCCUAAGGUAGCGAAAUUCCUUGUCGGGUAAGUUCCGACCUGCACGAAUGGCGUAAUGAUGGCCAGGCUGUCUCCACCCGAGACUCAGUGAAAUUGAACUCGCUGUGAAGAUGCAGUGUACCCGCGGCAAGACGGAAAGACCCCGUGAACCUUUACUAUAGCUUGACACUGAACAUUGAGCCUUGAUGUGUAGGAUAGGUGGGAGGCUU